Molecule: long non-coding RNA, 362 nt
Organism: Arachis duranensis
Lineage: Eukaryota; Viridiplantae; Streptophyta; Magnoliopsida; Fabales; Fabaceae
Exons: 2
Source: RefSeq, a predicted model, not a curated record
UGCAUUAUUUUUAAAGCUUUAAUUAAGUUGGAGUAGGGUACUAUAAAUUGGAGUUCAGCAUAUGAAACUUUUAGUAGGAUCCAAACAUGGUACAAUACAAGCUAAUAAUAAUCACUUUUAUGCUUAUUCUGUUGCUGUCUGUGUCUUCUUAUUUCGCUGCAGCAGCAGCAUCAUCGUCUGGGAAUGAAUUUAAUAAUGGACUAAUAACGUCAUUGGGAAGGAAACUGCUUCAAGAUUAUUGCAUUGAUUUGUGUGUAUUGGAUUGGAAUUGCGAGCAGUCCCCUUGUGGAAGGGUUUGUGAUUAUAGUCAUGGCUUUGGUCCUAAUUAUGGCAUUUGUGUACAGUAAUUGUCAUGGUUCUUA